This 207-nucleotide microRNA precursor is filed under the name Oryza sativa Japonica Group (Japanese rice). RNAcentral's name for it is "MIR812 microRNA precursor family". It matches the Rfam family "MIR812 microRNA precursor family". Lineage: Eukaryota; Viridiplantae; Streptophyta; Magnoliopsida; Poales; Poaceae. The record is from Rfam by way of RNAcentral.
AAUAAGUAUAGCCGUGGAUAUCCGUGUCUAACGUUUGACCGUCCGUCUUAUUUAAAAAAUUUGUAAAAAAUUUAAAAAUAUUUAGUCACACAUAAAAUACUAUUUAUGUUUUAUCAUCUAAUAGCAAUAAAAAUACUAAUCAUAAAAAAUUUCAAAUAAAAUGAAUGGUCAAACGUUGAACGUGAAUAGCGCAAAACUGCACUUAUU